GCCCGAGGAGACGCCAAGGCCCAGGAAGCGCUGAGAGCGAGAGACGGCCGCCAGCACGUUGUCACCUCUCACAGUGACCUUGGCAGAUGCGGGGAUGCUGACGAAAAUUGUACAAGAGAAUUUAUGAACAAAAACAAAAGAGACAAAUGGCGAAAAAUAUUUGAAGUACUUUUUCUUGGGCUGGCUCUUCUCCAAAUGACAACUGAUAAUUAGGUAAGUAAA
RNAcentral lists this long non-coding RNA (222 nucleotides) under Homo sapiens (human). RNAcentral describes it as "HSALNT0202631". Lineage: Eukaryota; Metazoa; Chordata; Mammalia; Primates; Hominidae. The record is from RNAcentral.